CAGUAGCCACGGGAAUACGAAGGGGGCUAGCGUUGCUCGGAAUCACUGGGCGUAAAGGGUGCGUAGGCGGGUCUUUAAGUCAGGGGUGAAAUCCUGGAGCUCAACUCCAGAACUGCCUUUGAUACUGAAGAUCUCGAGUUCGGGAGAGGUGAGUGGAACUGCGAGUGUAGAGGUGAAAUUCGUAGAUAUUCGCAAGAACACCAGUGGCGAAGGCGGCUCACUGGCCCGAUACUGACGCUGAGGCACGAAAGCGUGGGGAGCAAGCAGGAUUAGAUACCCGCGUAGUCCCUGUCUCUUAUAC
RNAcentral lists this ribosomal RNA (301 nucleotides) under uncultured bacterium. Its description in RNAcentral is "partial 16S ribosomal RNA". It matches the Rfam family "Bacterial small subunit ribosomal RNA", at positions 509 to 807 of the family's 1533-position model. The record is from RNAcentral.